RNAcentral lists this ribosomal RNA (484 nucleotides) under uncultured bacterium. RNAcentral describes it as "partial 16S ribosomal RNA". It matches the Rfam family "Bacterial small subunit ribosomal RNA", at positions 30 to 507 of the family's 1533-position model. The record is from RNAcentral.
AUUGAACGCUGGCGGCAGGCCUAACACAUGCAAGUCGAGCGGAUGAAGGGAGCUUGCUCCUGGAUUCAGCGGCGGACGGGUGAGUAGUGCCUAGGAAUCUGCCUGGUAGUGGGGGAUAACGUCCGGAAACGGGCGCUAAUACCGCAUACGUCCUGAGGGAGAAGGUGGGGGAUCUUCGGCCCUCACGCUAUCAGAUGAGCCUAGGUCGGAUUAGCUAGUUGGUGGGGUAAAGGCCUACCAAGGCGACGAUCCGUAACUGGUCUGAGAGGAUGAUCAGUCACACUGGAACUGAGACACGGUCCAGGCUCCUACGGGAGGACGCAGUGGGGAAUAUUGGACAAUGGGCGAAAGCCUGAUCCAGCCAUGCCGCGUGUGUGAAGAAGGUCUUCGGAUUGUAAAGCACUUUAAGUUGGGAGGAAGGGCAGUAAGUUAAUACCUUGCUGUUUUGACGUUACCAACAGAAUAAGCACCGGCUAACUUCGUG